GACGAACCGUGCGAACGUUGUUCGGAUUCACUGGGCGUAAAGGGCGCGUAGGCGGCCCUCCUUGUCGCGUGUGAAAGCCCCGGGCUCAACCUGGGAACGGCGCGCGAGACGGGGGGGCUGGAGUUCGGGAGAGGAGCGUGGAAUUCCUGGUGUAGCGGUGAAAUGCGCAGAUAUCGGGAAGAACACCCGUGGCGAAGGCGGCUCUCUGGGACGGUACUGACGCUGAGACGCGAAAGCGUGGGGAGCGAACAGG
RNAcentral lists this ribosomal RNA (253 nucleotides) under uncultured bacterium. RNAcentral describes it as "partial 16S ribosomal RNA". It matches the Rfam family "Bacterial small subunit ribosomal RNA", at positions 524 to 776 of the family's 1533-position model. The record is from RNAcentral.